Molecule: ribosomal RNA, 431 nt
Filed under: uncultured bacterium
Lineage: Bacteria
Description: partial 16S ribosomal RNA
Rfam family: Bacterial small subunit ribosomal RNA
Source: RNAcentral
AACGAACGCUGGCGGCAGGCCUAACACAUGCAAGUCGAGCGCGCCUUCGGGUGAGCGGCGGACGGGUGAGUAACGCGUGGGAAUAUGCCCUUCUCUACGGAAUAGUCCUGGGAAACUGGGGGUAAUACCGUAUACGCCCUUUGGGGGAAAGAUUUAUCGGGGAAGGAUUAGCCCGCGUUGGAUUAGGUAGUUGGUGGGGUAAUGGCCUACCAAGCCGACGAUCCAUAGCUGGUUUGAGAGGAUGAUCAGCCACACUGGGACUGAGACACGGCCCAGACUCCUACGGGAGGCAGCAGUGGGGAAUCUUAGACAAUGGGGGCAACCCUGAUCUAGCCAUGCCGCGUGAGUGAUGAAGGCCUUAGGGUUGUAAAGCUCCUUCAGCUGGGAAGAUAAUGACGGUACCAGCAGAAGAAGCCCCGGCUAACUCCGUG